This is a non-coding RNA of Peromyscus maniculatus bairdii (prairie deer mouse), 2947 nucleotides long. NCBI's taxonomy places the organism in Eukaryota, Metazoa, Chordata, Mammalia, Rodentia, Cricetidae. The record is from RefSeq and is a predicted model, not a curated record.
CUCACAGAGAUCCGCCUGCCUCUGCCUCCCAAGUGCUGGGAUUAAAGGCAUGUGCCACCACCGCCCGGCGUGUUGUACUCCCGAAAUGUGCAGAGUGGAUGUUGAGUGUUCUGCCACAAAUGUGCUGGCUGUGUGAGGCAGGGCCCUAGUGAACUGGCUAUAUCUAUUCAUUUUGCUGGGAUGCUUCAAACCCCACAACAAAUGGAGGAAACACGUGCUUCUGUGAAUCUAAGGCAUAUUCUUCUUAAAGUAACUUAUAAAGUAUGCAUACACUCUCCCCCAUCAAUGGAGAGGACAGGGACGGGUCUCAUAUGCCUCGGUGUCCCACUCAUGGCAGGGAGCUUUACACAGAAGAGACCUACCUCAACGUGGAUUGGUUAAACGGAUGCACAAGUGGCAGGCUCGUGUUGAGAUGACAGAUCCCCACCGUGAGAAGUGUAUGGUCCAGCUGGGAUAAUGAGACAGGGAGCCGGGAUAGCCAGUGACCUCCCCACAUUUUGAUCUCCUCCCUCUUAACAUCCCCACCUUACCAGGCACCUUGCUUUGGUACUUCCUAGUUUUCCUGCUGUAGAGAAAAGCUAAACACAUCACUUUAAAAACACUAGAAAUAUUAUACUGAUGUAUUUUUAUCUCACAAGAAAACAGUGAACAGGAAAUGCUUACCUUGGAAGAAUGGAUGGGAGAAUUUUAGACACUGGGAUCUCUGGAAAAGGUAAUGUAUUGUAACUGCUGUUGUUAACAAGGCAGGGGAUGAAAGAACUGCUUUCUAAGCACAAGUGUGGUGUGUGUGUGUGUGUGUGUGUGUGUGUGUGUGUGUGUGUGUGUGUGUGUAUGCAUGCGCGCACUCAUGUAUUUCACUGGCUCUUUGCUCUAUUUCUUCUCAUAAACUACUUGCCUUUUCAGCAAGGACCAGCUGCACACCAGCUGGGGCAGAGGCGAGAGGGUCUCUGAGGGGUGUGUGCAAAAGAGGAGAGAUCCUCCGGUAUGGAAAAUGAAGGAGGAGCUGGAGAUGGCUCAGAGGUUAAAGGCAUCUGCUGCUCUUGCCACAGGCAGGACUUUGGUUCCCUGCAUCUGAAUCUGGCAGCUCAUAACCACCUGUAACUGCAGCUCCAGAGGAUCUGAUGCCACCUUCUGGCCUCUGCAUUAACCUACACACACUCACACACAAUGAUGAUGACAAUGAUGAUGUCGACGACGACGACGAUGAUAAAUUUUUUUAAAGGAAAACCACAGAGAAGGGCUGGUAUCAGGUAGCUGACUCAUCAGGGCUUCUAAACUCAAUCUGACUCAAGACUUAGUUUUUAAGAUCUUGAAAGAGAUUACACUUGUCAAAAAGCAAAGAACUGGAGACAUAGAACUAUGAAAGAGACUCCCAGUUUAGUGGUCACAGUGCCCUAUAGCCCGAGGGUGGGGUUCCUUGACAGGGAAACCCAGGGGUCUCCUGUUCAUGGGUAACCUGGGUUAUUACCACUCCAUGUGCUAGGGAGAUUCCAUCAGAGUCCCUGUGGAUGCCUCUGUGUACCUGUUCAUGGAGGGGCCACCAGUUAUGGUGCACAUCUCUCUCAGGUACUGGAUGCCUGGGGGUCCUGUUAUUAGUGACUUCCACACACUAUUCAUGGGCUGUGGAUUAUGUUUCUCAAGAGAGUGACAUUAGCAAUGUAAACCUAUAUAUUGCCUCAUGAAAGCUUUGAUCUGUCGUAGAAGACAAGAUCCCAGUGUGCCUGACACGUGGUAUGAGAGGCACUGUGAUUGUUAACUUGGUGAGAUUUAGAAUCUUGCUUGAAGCAUACCCCUAGGUAUCUGUGAAGGUUACUGGGCAGGUUUAACUGAAUUGAGAAGACCUCCCCCCAAUGUGUGUGUGUGUGUGUGUGUGUGUGUGUGUGUGUAUCAUCCAUGGCUGGUGGCCCAUGCUGAAUAAAAAAGAGAAAGUGAGCUGAGUGUAGCAUUCAUCUCUCUGCAGAUGCAAGGUAACCAUCCUUUUCACGGUCCUAUUGCCAUGACUUUUCUGACACGAUACACUGUAUCCCCAAACUAUGAGCCCAAAGAAAUUCUUCCUUCCUUAAGCUUCUUUUGUCGAGUAUUUUGCUACAGAAAGAGAACGGCUGGAGGCUCCAGAAGCACAUGCACCUGGUGACAUCUGCCCGCUGUCCGGGACACCUGUGCUCUUCUUGUGUCUGGUUCCACAAGAGCUCUGGUGGCAUCUGGCUUUUGUCUUCCAGUCUCUACCCACUGGAGGGAACCUGUCAACCAGAUUCAGGAAGUAAGAUGGAAAGCCCCUUCCCCAAACCCUUAGCAAGGAUGGAGCCAAAUGCUUUGGAUGGAAUUUACAAUCUACAAUUUGUCUGUAACAUUGUUUCUGGGGUCAGUAGGUGGAUGAGGCAGGAGGAGGCAGGAAGAAAGCUAAGAGAAGGAAAUAUAAUUUCAAAUUCAUUCAUGAUUUAUCUGUUUGCUCCCUGUGGCUGCAGGGGAAUUUUUAACUACACUGCAAGAUGGCCGGGCUGUGCCCAGUGCUGCGUGCCAUGGAGCUCAGAACAGCUCCUAAAAUGUUAACCUCUCCUUUGCUGGUGGCUUUCCACCUCACACGUUGCUGACCCCUAUCCUGGCCUUGUGUGGUGCUCAGCCGUAGGACAUAUCCUCACACAGCCUGAGCUCCUCCUUCCUGAUCCACUGAGAUUCAAUAAGAUGUAUCACAAGCUCCCACUGCCAUAGAUGGAGUCCCACCAUGAGUAGAUCUCUGUCUGUCAUGCCAGGAAGGACUGGAUCCCUGCAAAGUAGCUCACAGCUUUGAGUUUGCCUUGAGUCUCAGAAGAGAUUUUGAACUUUGGAUUUUUGAACAGUGUUGAAACUGUUAGGAGUAUUGGGACUUUUGAAGUUGGACUGAAUACAUCUUACAAUGUGAGCUGGCCAUGAGUCUAUGGGGGCCAGGGGUAGGAUGUUAUGGCUUGAA